RNAcentral lists this long non-coding RNA (5924 nucleotides) under Sus scrofa (pig). RNAcentral describes it as "lncRNA (ENSSSCG00030051615.1)". The record is from RNAcentral. Lineage: Eukaryota; Metazoa; Chordata; Mammalia; Artiodactyla; Suidae.
AUUUGACAUAAUACAGAAGAAAUAGGAAACCCACUAGAUUUCUAAUACUUUGUGGCCAAAGAAUUGUGUUUGCCCAAUUUUUAUUGGCUAUUGAUAUAAUUUUCUCAGUCUUUGAAAGGAAAAGUAUCACUGUGGUAUUUCUAGGUGUUGGACUUCCUUUUGCAUUUGUGUCCAAGAGAAUGUGGUAUAGUUUUCCAACCUACAGAGCUUGCGUGGAAAAACAAAAAUAAAAUGUAAACAAAAUAUUUUACGUAUGCACAUUGAAUUACCCAUUCUAUUGAGCUUGUUUCAUUCGUCAGGAAUAUAUUUGACCCUUAUGACCUGGUCUCUGCUGUCUGUCUUCACUGCGUACUCCUGGUUGCUUGCACUGAGUUCAUCACACCAGGGUUUGGGCAGGGAGGUGAUGCUGUCACUUCCUUGAUGUGACUCCAGCUCUACAGCAGCCAUGUGGAUUUUAAUUCUGCAGCUGAACUUCUGGGUUCCUGGCCCUUUUCCCUUACUCCAGUCAUCUGCCUUUCUAUUUCAUCUUGUCGUCUUAUGGCUUUCUUUUUUUUUGUCUUUUUUAUUUUCUAGGGCUCCACCCGUGGCAUAUGGAGGUUCCUAGGCUAGGAGUCCAAUCGGAGCUACACCCGAGCCACAGCAACGCCAGAUCUGAGCUGAGUCUGCAAUCUACACCACAGCUCAUGGCAGCGCUGGAUCCUUAACCCACCGAGUGAGGCUGGGGAUCGAACCCGCAAUUUCAUGAUUCCUAGUCGGAUUUGUUUCUGCUGCGCUAUGACAGGAACUCCCAUGUUAUCGCUUUUGAAACUUGUCUCCUUAGGCUCCUUCCUUCCUGUUUGAGGAGAGGCUAAUCUUAUAUUCUCUUAAGGAUAUCAAAUAUUGACAAGGAACUUUUUUCCUGGAUCCUGGGGAAGGUUAUCUUCAGAGGUCAGCUCUUCUGAGACUUGGGCAGGAGGAGGUCUAGCUCUAUAAGUGGAUUGACUGGGUUCCUUGUAGGUCUCGUCCCUUUUCCAAAGCAUCUUAAUGAGCAGCCUCCUGCCUAAUGCUUACCCCAGAAGACAUCCAUGGGGCCAACUCUGUGAUGGGGGCGGGCAGAUCGCUUCCUCUUCUCUGUAAAACACAUGCUCUGCCUCAUACGCCGAAUCCAGGGAGUGUAUGAAAAAUCCUAGCUUCCGGCAUUCACUAUUAACAGGUGUGUUGUCUGCUCACCUAUUUUCUCACGUACACCCAUGCCUUGCUGAAGAGUCUGACACCUCUGAAGAUGCAUUUGGGCACUGUCAACCGGCUCUUUGUACCUGCUGAUUAUUUAAAGGGAAUCGUUGUCUCUUUCAAGAUGUAAGAAUAUAGGAUAAGAAACGGUGAACCUGACCUUGGGAGCUAUCUGACCUCACCAUGACUCAGUUUCCUCUUUGGCAAAAUGAUCAUAGAACCUUCCAGAGUACCAUGAAGAGAGGGACUACAGACAGAAGCCUGUCGUAAGCAUCAAUAAAUAUUAGUUACUGUAAGUGGACAUGAGGGAUCAAUAAAUAUUAGUUAUUGUAAGUGGACAUGAGGGAUCCUUGUUGGGGUGAUAAAAAUAGGCUAAAACGGGGUUUAUGGACGUGGCUGCACAAUGGAUAGUAUACACAUGGUAUAGUGUAGGUUGAGUGAAUUGUACAUUUGAAAUGGCCCCUUUGAUCCAUCUCUCUUACAUGCUUUGAUAGUGAAAGAACUGGGGAUCUGAAAACAAGGUUUAGAUGGUUCCUCGUGUGCCCCAAUUUUCCUGCUUCUCAUGCCGUCUCUGCCGCUCUUAGACAUUUGGUUUCACCCCUAACUACUCAGUGUUGGGGGGUCGGCAGGCCUGGAUUCCCUCUGGGCUCUGACAUUCAUCAGCUGGAGACCUGGGGUGCAUUGUCCCCCCUCCUGCCUCAGAUACGCCCUCAGCUGCCAAAAAGGGGGACGCAAGCCCAAGAUCUCGGCUUUCCCUUCUGCUCCUUAAGGACCCGCAUCUUUUCCCACCCUCUCCAGGUUCUCAGAUGGAUGAGAAGCUGCAUAUAAAUGGGAUUUUAUUUACAUGACCCAGUGCCUGUGUUCACAGGUCUUCAGCCAGCCCCGUUUCCUUCCCGUCUCUCAUUUGCCAUAUAAUCGCCAAGAGGAGGGCAUCCUAGGGGAAAAGUCUCAUGUUUUCUAGGUGAGUUUUCCCAGCUGCCAGGUUACAGGGUCAGGAGACAAAGGUGGGGGCAUCGAGUCUGGUUUACUCCAUUUCCAGGCUCUUCUUUCUUCUCUUCUUGACUCCUGGGAUCUCUGAUAGAAAACUUAGGUCAUUUCCUCACCCUGGUAUAGUGUCGGUUGAGAAGACGACAGCAUCUAAUUUAGUUGCAAACUAAUCCAGUAGCUCGUCCAGGAACCCAGCAUUCUAGGGCCAUAUUGCCCAAAGCAUUUCUCCCUUGAUUCUCGCUAGAGGGGCAGGGGCUCUGUUUUCUUUAUCUUAGAAGUGGUCAUAGGGGUUACGGCGACUGCUGAGUGAGCAACCACAGAGCACUAAACAUUUUGCUUAUGCCCAUUCGAAUUCUCAUCGCAAGCCUUCAGGAUGGUAAGAACACCUGUCUCCACCUUCCAGGGGAGGCAUGAGGCUUAAGCACAUGGUUGUAACAGGGCUGAGGUCCAGCUGUUGGCGGGAGAACUGGGAGGUGAGCCGUUGAAUCUGGCUGGUCUGAAGCCUCAGUUCUUUCCAAUAGCCUUGCCCGCUCGCCCUGAUUCCCCACGCCUACCCCCAGCACCAUGAACCAUGCACACCCAUAAUAAGACCCAGUCUGUGAUGAGUGAAGAGAAUGGACCUAGAUGGCUCGUGAACAGCACGGAUCCUGGACCUAUUCUAAGCAAACGGGGUGGGGCGUACCGUUGGGAGAUGGGUCGAAGAACUCCAGACUGGACCAGCUCCUACGGUUGGAGCCCUUGAGUAAGGACCCCGCCUCUUUGAGGCUCUUUUUCCAAAAUGCUAACAUGAGGUGGGGACCCCGGGCCACCGUGCCUUCCAGUGUUAGGCUUCUUCACACGCUUCUUCACUUUCCUUUGUCAAAAAUUCUUCCCCCUGCAUCCUCCUCCCCUGCCCCCACUGUGAGCCCACUUCUUCCCCCUUCUGUGAGAAGCAGCUUUUAUAAAAAGAACUGCAAGCCGUCAGCUGCUUCUGGAAGAGGAGCUAUGUAACAGAUCGAGGUGUGGUGUGAAGCAGUUCCCACGGAGAGAGGGCAACUCACGCAUCCCUAAUGUGUCCGGGAAUUAAAAGGGAAAAUAGUCCAUCGUUUCGUGUCUUCAUAGCUUCUUCUUCUUCUUUUUCUCUGCAUUCUCACAAAUAAAGAACGUACUUUUUUUUUUUUUUUUAAAUGGGGAAGCAUGAGCAAUGACCAGCACACCCUGUAAAGAAAAGCCAAAUUCUCCCUAAAAUAAAAAGGCCUUUGGAGGUGGGAUAAAAGCUAUUCCUACCCCUGUUAUUCUCAGAUGAAAGAGGGGAAUGCAGUUUUUAAGAUCAAAAAUCUAUGUUGUGCACAUAUGCUGGGUAAUAAAGUCUGGGGAAAAUAUCAAACGUGUUAUGGAUGCAUGCAUGUAUUUUUGCUAAUUGAUGUACAAUUUAUUUUUUAUUGUUUAUGUAGUUUACAUAGCAGUGAUCAUUUUUACCUUAAGCGUUUUAGUACAAUUUGAAGCACAGAGAUAAUUAUCGUGGUAUUUAUUUUUUAAUGUAUAUCUCGGUAAUUUAUUUAUUUAGGCCAAAGUCCAAAUGUGAACUAAGACCAGGAUUAGGCAACAGGGAAACAAAGCCGCUAAUGCUGAAUCUCGGUGGGGAAGGAGCACAUUUUCCACCCUGGAGUUUGAAAAUUAACACCUUCAAGAACCAGGAAUCAUUAGCACAUCAAGAAUUAGGGUGAUACCUCUUUUCAGCCCAGUGAAUGAAACAAGUCUUUGUAUUUAUUUUUUUCCAGAAGGCAGCCUUAGCCUGGCUUCCAGAGGCAGGAUUCCGUGGAGGUCAGUGCAAGUUCACCUGUCAAAAAUAGAAGUACUGACCUAUAAAGAAUUUUUUCCAAUGUAAUCUUUUCAGGAUCUGGGAGUAUUCAGAAGAAAUACAACCAGGAACCAGGCGGGAGCAGACACUGCUGGCUGGGGACUGGGGGCGGGGGGGGGCUGUUGAAUCCUCCUCCGUUCCAGGAGCCCCCUAACUUUGGGACUGACACCCCCGCAUCCGGCUACCGAACCCAGGUUGCGACGGGGGCCACUUCCCUCUGGACUCCAAGUCCUCAAAUAAAAAAAGAGAAAACCCCACAGUGUGUCCCCAAUAAUUGAAUCAGUGUAAGAUCUUUCUUCUGCAGAAACCCCAAAUCGUCCUAGAAAACUUAACUCUCCUUAAGUAAACGUCUGUUGAAAACCCCUCCUGGGAAACAGUAGGAAUGGCUAAUUCUCCAUCUGCAUCUAAAGCGUUCUCGGAGGGCGUGGGUGUGCCCCAUAUUAAGAAACAGAAGAUAUGAUUAUUUGUGUUACGGAAGGAUUCGUCCACGGAUGAGCAGUUUCAUUGUAUUCCUUUUAAAAAAUUAUACUUGUGCGUUAUAGACAAAAGUAGAAAACAGAUUUUUUUUUUAAAAAAAAGGAAGUAUAAACUCCCUAUAACCCACCACCCAUAGAUAGAUAAAACCCUGCCAACAUCAUCCCCUGAUAUUUUUUCCCUAGCAUGUACAAUUACAAUGUAUAUAUAUAUAUUUUUUUUAGGGCUGCACCUGCCGGCAUAUACAGAGGUUCCCAGGCUAGGGGUCAAAUCAGAGCUCAGCCACCAGCCUACGCCAGAGCCACAGCAACAUGGAAUCUGAGCCAUGGCUGCAACCCACACCACAGCUCACGGCAAUGCCAGAUCCUCAGCCCACUGAGCAAGGCCAGGGAUUGAACCUGCAACCUCAUGGAUACUAGUCAAAUUCGUUUCCACUGAGCCAGGAAGGGAACUCCUACAAUUACUAGAAUGGAAUCACACUAAAUGUAUUAUUUCAUAGCCUAUUCUUUCACUUCACAUAAUAUUAUGAAUAUCUGUUCAUGUGAAAACGAUAUUUCCCCACCAUCAUUUUUAAUGGCUGUAUGGACUUCCAUUAAAUGGGUUUGUUUAGAUUACUUUCAGUCUUUUUAUUUUGGCUACACCCGUGGCAUAUGGAAGUUCUGAGGCCAGGGAUCAAACACGCACCUCUGUGGGGAGCUGGACUCUUAACCCACUGCACCCGCCCCAGGAACUCCAACUUUCAGUUUUUCACUGUUAUAAAGGCUGCUGUGGUGUAAAUUACUUCAGCUAAAUAUUGACUCUCUCCUCUCUUGGUUUCUUUGGAUCAAUUCACACACUCGGAUUCCUUUUGGAGGGCGUGCACAUCUAAAGCGGCUGUCCUUGCAGCUCAGCUGCCUUCCAGAAGCUUGCGGUUGAAAUGUGCGGUCUGGCAUUUCCACUAAGAAGGAACACAGCUGUGGAAACGUGUGGGGCGCUCUCACGUCUCUGUUUUUCCUGUUGCCAGCGUGUCCUUACCUAUGUGCAGGCAGCCCGCCCGCUGGUCCAGAUAAAUUGAUAGCGGGGAAAUGACAAUAUCACCACUAAUUGGAAAAGCCUUCGGGAGCAAGUUCCGAUUCUUCCAGAGCUGUGUGAUCUUGUCCUCUCUUGCCUUUUUUUUUUUUUUUUUUUAAAUCUGGCAUUUGCUCAAACACACCCUCCUUUUGAGCGGCCCGGCUGACGGGCCAGCUCCCUGGUUCCUGCCACUAUCUGGUGAGGCCGGCACUGUUUCGCACAGUCAUGACAUUAAAGAGAUCCUGCGUGCGAAUUACUCGCAAGGAACUACCGAUGUGUGAGGUCCCCUUGAGGAGACAGUGAUGACAGGGGGUCCCGGAUUUGCGGUGGUCGUGUGGGGGCCUGGGGGGGGGGAGGUCAGAGC